GGCCCGAACAGCUGAUUUCAGACAGUUGUAUUUGAGCCGCAGAGAAGAGCAGAGGUCGUUCAGCCUGUGUCCGUGUUUCGACAUACUUCUCGAGCAGAUACAUAUCAAAGAGCCAAAGCAGCACCAGCGGUGACGACAAUGACCAGUGCGACGCCGAGACCGGUGACCCAACCCAUCCUUCUUAAUGCCAAAUCCAGGCCCAACCACAAAUCCAAUCAGACCGCCGGAGCCUGAAACACACGGAGUAAAUCCAUGGAGAGCAUGAUCCGAUUACUGUUACAGAACCGAGAUUAUUCGAGGAUUAAGAGACCUUCUAGAGAGAUCCACCUUUAUCGAUGGUUACAUCUGAUGGUGUCUCAUUGGUCAAUGCUCUCACGAUGGGUCAUAGCGUCAAUAAAAAAAAAAGGAUUUUUAUAUCGUACGAGUAGUUCAUAAUAAAUCAUUUCAUAUUUUUGGAUUUUUUG
This is a long non-coding RNA of Vespa velutina, 464 nucleotides long. RefSeq lists it as uncharacterized. The transcript is spliced from 3 exons. The record is from RefSeq and is a predicted model, not a curated record. NCBI's taxonomy places the organism in Eukaryota, Metazoa, Arthropoda, Insecta, Hymenoptera, Vespidae.